This 428-nucleotide ribosomal RNA is filed under the name uncultured bacterium. RNAcentral's name for it is "partial 16S ribosomal RNA". It matches the Rfam family "Bacterial small subunit ribosomal RNA", at positions 354 to 796 of the family's 1533-position model. The record is from RNAcentral.
GUGGGGAAUAUUGGGCAAUGGGCGCAAGCCUGACCCAGCAACGCCGCGUGAAGGAAGAAGGCUUUCGGGUUGUAAACUUCUUUUACCAGGGACGAAACAAAUGACGGUACCUGGUGAAUAAGCCACGGCUAACUACGUGCCAGCAGCCGCGGUAAUACGUAGGUGGCGAGCGUUAUCCGGAUUUAUUGGGUGUAAAGGGCGUGUAGGCGGGACAGCAAGUCAGAUGUGAAAACCAGAGGCUCAACCUCUGGCCUGCAUUUGAAACUGUUGGUCUUGAGUGUCGGAGAGGUAAUCGGAAUUCCGUGUGUAGCGGUGAAAUGCGUAGAUAUACGGAGGAACACCAGUGGCGAAGGCGGAUUACUGGACUGUAACUGACGCUGAGGCGCGAAAGUGUGGGGAGCAAACAGGAUUAGAUACCCUAGUAGUCC